CUGGUCCCGCUAUGGGGCACAAAGGGGGGGCUGUGGGGCACUCCCGGCCCCACUCGUGCCUCAGUUUCCCCCCAAUUGGGGGUCGGUCCCUGCCCCACUCGUGCCUCAGUUUCCCCCCAUUUAGGGGUCAGUUCAGGCCCCACUUGGGGGUCACUUUGUUCCCACUUAUGGGUCAGUCCAGACCCCACUCGUGCCUCAGUUUCCCCGCACUUGGGGGUCAGUCCCAGCCCCACUUGGGGGUCAGUUCCUGCCCCACUCGUGCCUCAGUUUCCCCGCACUUGGGGGUCAGUCCCUGCCCCACUGCCGGCUCCGCUGUGGGGCCGCAGGGCCGGGGGUCACUGCAGGGUCCCCCUGUGGGGCACCGUGGAGCUCUGUGGGUCACUCUGGGGCAGCGCCGGACGCUGGGGGUCACUGCUGGGGCUCCGUGGGUCACUCCAUGGGUCACUGCUGGGGCUCCGUGGGUCACUGGUGGGGCUCCGUGGGUCACUCGUGGGUCGCUGUGGGUCACUUGUGGGUCGCUGUGGGUCACCCCAUUGGUCACUCUGUGGGUCACCCGUGGGUCGCUGUGGGUCACUCCGUGGGUCACCC
This 588-nucleotide long non-coding RNA is filed under the name Parus major (Great Tit). RNAcentral describes it as "lncRNA (ENSPMJG00000002444.1)". Lineage: Eukaryota; Metazoa; Chordata; Aves; Passeriformes; Paridae. The record is from RNAcentral.